UCUCUGGGGGUCCAGUGGUUAGGGCUUGGUUCUUUCACAGCCAUGACCCCGGUUCAAUUCCUGAUUAGAGAA
This 72-nucleotide transfer RNA is filed under the name Bos taurus (domestic cattle). It matches the Rfam family "tRNA". Rfam says of the family: Transfer RNA (tRNA) molecules are approximately 80 nucleotides in length. Their secondary structure includes four short double-helical elements and three loops (D, anti-codon, and T loops). The record is from Rfam by way of RNAcentral. RNAcentral also lists the same sequence under 2 other names. Lineage: Eukaryota; Metazoa; Chordata; Mammalia; Artiodactyla; Bovidae.